Molecule: ribosomal RNA, 760 nt
Filed under: uncultured bacterium
Lineage: Bacteria
Description: bacterial SSU rRNA
Rfam family: Bacterial small subunit ribosomal RNA
Source: RNAcentral
AAGUCGAACGCGGUUAUCCAGCAAUGGAUAACUGAGUGGCGAACGGGUGAGUAACACGUGGGUGACCUACCUUCGAGUGGGGGAUAACGUCCCGAAAGGGACGCUAAUACCGCAUAACAUCCUGCCUUUGAACAGGCGGAGAUCAAAGCCGGGGAUCGCAAGACCUGGCGUUUGAAGAGGGGCCCGCGUCCGAUUAGCUAGUUGGUGAGGUAACGGCCCACCAAGGCGACGAUCGGUAACCGGCCUGAGAGGGCGGACGGUCACACUGGGACGGAGACACGGCCCAGACUCCUACGGGAGGCAGCAGUGGGGAAUUGUUCGCAAUGGGCGCAAGCCUGACGACGCAACGCCGCGUGGAGGAUGAAGGUCUUCGGAUUGUAAACUCCUGUUGCCCGGGACGAAAAGCUUCAACCUAAUACGUUGAAGUCUGACGGUACCGGGUGAGGAAGCCCCGGCUAACUCUGUGCCAGCAGCCGCGGUAAUACAGAGGGGGCAAGCGUUGUUCGGAAUUACUGGGCGUAAAGGGCGCGUAGGCGGCCUGUUAAGUCGAACGUGAAAUCCCCGGGCUCAACCCGGGAACUGCGUCCGAUACUGGCAGGCUCGAAUCCGGGAGAGGGAUGUGGAAUUCCAGGUGUAGCGGUGAAAUGCGUAGAUAUCUGGAGGAACACCGGUGGCGAAGGCGGCAUCCUGGACCGGUAUUGACGCUGAGGCGCGAAAGCCAGGGGAGCAAACGGGAUUAGAUACCCCGGUAGUCCUGGCC